GACGAACGCUGGCGGCGUGCUUAACACAUGCAAGUCGAACGGUAAGGCCCUGCUUUUGUGGGGUGCUCGAGUGGCGAACGGGUGAGUAACACGUGAGUAACCUGCCCCUGACUUUGGGGUAACUUCAGGAAACUGGGGCGAAUACCGGAUAGGAGCUCCUGCUGCAUGGUGGGGGUGGGAAAGAUUCGGCGGUUGGGGAUGGACGCGCGGCUCAUCAGCUUGUUGGUGGGGUAGUGGCUUACAAAGGCUUUGACGGGUAGCCGGCCUGAGAGGGUGACCGGCCACAUUGGGACUGAGAUACGGCCCAGACUCAUACGGGAGGCAGCAGUGGGGAAUAUUGCACAAUGGGCGGAAGCCUGAUGCAGCAACGCCGCGUGCGGGAUGACGGCCUUCGGGGUGUAAACCGCUUUCGCCUGUGACGAAGCGUGAGUGACGGUAAUGGGUAAAGAAGCACCGGCUAACUACGUG
RNAcentral lists this ribosomal RNA (468 nucleotides) under uncultured bacterium. Its description in RNAcentral is "partial 16S ribosomal RNA". It matches the Rfam family "Bacterial small subunit ribosomal RNA", at positions 28 to 507 of the family's 1533-position model. The record is from RNAcentral.